RNAcentral lists this ribosomal RNA (2790 nucleotides) under Triticum aestivum (bread wheat). RNAcentral's name for it is "partial small subunit ribosomal RNA". Lineage: Eukaryota; Viridiplantae; Streptophyta; Magnoliopsida; Poales; Poaceae. The record is from RNAcentral.
AUGGAGGCCGUGAGUGCCUCCCACGGCGCAUUUGGUCCCCUGCUGUGGAAGCUCACCACCUUGCUUGCCGAUGAGUGUGCUCGGCUGAAAGGGGUCCGCCGUGAGAUCCGUUCCCUUAGGUCAGAGCUCGCCAGCAUGCAUGCUGCACUGAAGGAGUACAUGAAGCUAGAAGACCCAAAUGACCAAGUGAAGACAUGGAUAUCGCUGGUCAGGGAGUUAGCCUAUGAUACCGAGGAUGUCUUUGACAAGUUCAUCCACCAGCUUGGCAGCAGAAGCCUUCAUGGUGGCUUCAAGGAGUUCUUCCGCAAGACUGCUCGCCGUCUGAAGACACUUGGCUCUCGUCGCGGAAUCGCUGACCAAAUUGACGACCUGAAAGAUCGCAUCAAGCAAGUGAAAGAGCUCAAGGAUAGUUACAAGUUGAAUGAUGUUCCUUCGAGCACCACUAGCCAUACGACUGUGGAUCCUCGGCUGCAUGCGGUAUUUGCUGAGGGGGCACACCUUGUGGGCGUGGAUGGUCCAAGGGAUGAUCUUGCCAAGUGGAUGCUGGAAGAAGGAAACAACACAUCCAAACCUUGCAAGGUGUUGUCUAUUGUUGGUUUUGGUGGGCUGGGAAAAACAACACUGGCAAAUGAAGUCUAUCGCAAAAUCCAAGGGCAAUUUGAUUGUAAGGCUUUCAUAUCGGUCUCGCAAAAACUAGAUAUAAAGAAAAUUAUGAAGGAUGUGAUCUCUCAAGUGUCAUGCCAAGACGGAUCCACAAAAGAUACCACUGAUUGGGAUGAAAUGAAGUCCAUUUCAGAGCUAAGAGAAUUACUGCAAAAUAAAAGGUAUCUCAUCAUUAUUGAUGAUGUAUGGUGUGCACAAACAUGGAACACUAUCAAGUGUGCUUUCCCAGAAGAUAAUUGUUCUAGCAGAAUUAUAGCUACUACACGCAUCAUUGAGGUGGCAAAGUCAUGUUGUCCGGGUGGUCAUGACCGUGUGUAUGAAUUGGAAGCCCUAAGUGAUAUCCACUCCAGGAGAUUGUUUUUCAGAAGAUUAUUUGCCUCUAAGGAAGAUUUCCCUGAAAUGUUGAAAGAAGUUUCUAAUAAAAUCCUAAAGAAAUGUGGAGGCCUACCAUUGGCAAUUAUCAGUAUAUCUGGUUUGCUAGAAAACCGACCAGCCAUCAAGGAAGAGUGGGAGAAGGUUAAGAGGUCAAUUGGUUCUGCACUGGAGAAAACCAAGAGUCUAGAGGGUAUGAGCAACAUACUUUCUCUUAGCUACAAUGAUCUUGCACCUAAUCUCAAGACUUGCUUGUUGUAUCUAAGUUUGUUUCCCGAAGACCAUGUGAUUGACAGAAAUAAGUUAGUGAGGCGAUGGAUAGCAGAAGGCUUCAUUUCUGAAGAGCGUGGACAGAGCAAGAAAGAGGUCGCUGAGAAUUACUUCUAUGAGCUUAUCAACAAAAGUAUGGUCCAACCGGUGGACAUUGGAUAUGAUGGCAAGGUCCGUGCCUGCCGAGUCCAUGACAUGAUGCUAGAAAUUAUAAUUUCAAAAUCUGCUGAAGAUAAUUUUACCACUGUGGUAGGUGGAGGUCAAACGAGUUUGCCAAAUCAUCAAGGUUUUAUUCGACGGCUAUCAAUCCAGUACAUUGACAAGGAACUUGCAUCUGCACUAGCAAAUGUAGAUCUCAGCCAUGUUCGAACUUUGAUAGUAAUGUCAUCAUGUUGCGUCACACACUUGCCCAGUCUUGAUCGGUUUGAAGCUUUACGUGUUCUGGAUUUUGAAGGUUAUAAGGAUUUAGAGGACUAUGAGAUGAAAGACGUGGAAAAAUUAUUCCAGCUAAAGUACCUAAGCUUUAUGGACACAGGUAUAUCAAAGCUACCAUCAGGGAUCAUGAUGCUAGGUAAUCUAGAGACCCUAGAUCUUAGGAAUACAUAUGUGAAAGAGCUGCCUGCUGGAAUUACUCGGUUGACUACACUACGACACCUAACUGUAUUUCUGGAGAAGUUACCAAAUGGAAUUGGGGGCAUGAGGAACUUACAGUUGAUGCCAAAAUUUAUUAUAACCUCGCAAGAAACAGAUGUGUUGGAGGAUCUCGGGAACCUGACAAGUUUGGAGGAACUCCAUGUGGAUCUUUGUGAUAAAGUAUCUUGCAAGGACAAGAUAUGUCAAAAAGAGAUGUUCCUCUCCUCACUGUGCAAGCUUGGCAGCAGCAAACUCCGUUCUUUGAGAAUAGGAGCAUACAACAGGGGUUCCGUCGACUUCUUAGAUUCUUGGUCCCCUCUGCCAUCUUCUCUUCAAAGCUUUUGGGCGCCCAACCGCGAUUCGUUCACAAACAUUCCAAAGUGGAUUACACCUGCACUCACUAACCUUGCCGACCUCUGCAUCAGCUUAACUGAACUUACGGAAGAUGGGCUGCUUACACUUGGGCAGCUCCCAUCCUUACUCUGCCUCCAACUAUGGCUAUCAGAGAAGUUUGUUGGUACAGCCCAAGCCACUUCUUUCCCAAAUUUGAAGGUGCUUAACUUCACAGAAACAGAACGAGCAUAUGUUUCAUUCGUGAAAGGGUCUGCACCCAAGCUUGAGGUAAUUAGGAACAUGCCAUUCAGUGUGUCCGCGGCAAAAGCUGAUGGCUUCUAUUUAGGCAUUCAGCAUCUCCCACGUCUCGUAAGAGUUUACAUAGGGCUUGAUGAGGAAGACGCGACAUCUUCAGAAUGCAAUGCUGCAGUUGCUGCAAUCAGGAAAGAAGCAGGUAUCAAUCCCAAGCAUCCUGCAGUUAGUAUUUGGGGGGAACCAGAUGAGCAAGGAAGAUGGUGA